Molecule: long non-coding RNA, 373 nt
Filed under: Sus scrofa (pig)
Lineage: Eukaryota; Metazoa; Chordata; Mammalia; Artiodactyla; Suidae
Description: lncRNA (ENSSSCG00015035809.1)
Source: RNAcentral
GUCCUGAAUUUCACUCAGUGCUGACUAUUAAAGAUAAUUUAAUUGAUCUCACCUCUUAUUUGGUUUGGAUACGUGAAAUCCCAUCAAGUUAAAGGAUCACGAGGAAGUCUCUCCCUUAAGGUUCAUGGAGACUCAAGACAAACAAGGUGUUGCUGGUACGAAUGCACACGUCUGCAAAUCUCAGGAAGCUCGGUGUCUGAUGAGGCAUUGAUCCUUACACCGAAUGGACAUGAGACUACGGAAACGGCUGCCACAGGGAAAAGCAUCAGGCUGUGGCUUCUUAGGUCUGAGAAUCUGCUGACACUGCGUUCCUGAGGGAAGAAAGUGCUACUGACUGAAUAAACCUGGGGUUUUAGGGGAGGAAGAUUCUGAG